This is a long non-coding RNA of Lampris incognitus (smalleye Pacific opah), 1067 nucleotides long. RefSeq lists it as uncharacterized. The transcript is spliced from 3 exons. The record is from RefSeq and is a predicted model, not a curated record. NCBI's taxonomy places the organism in Eukaryota, Metazoa, Chordata, Actinopteri, Lampriformes, Lampridae.
AUCGUUGUCUCAGCCUUUGCAUCAGGUGUCGCUCUUUGGGCUUUCCUCGAAUGACGUCUCAGAGCGAGUCAUCUGCUCCAUCCGUUCUGCAACAGAGCCAUGUGAACCUGGAGGAGAGCAGGAUGGCCACCCGGGGGAGACAAGAGGAGGAGAGCGGAGAUGAUGAAUAUGACUGAUCUGGAAAACCACGGCGACAGGCAGCGACGUGGUGGUGCCUCCUCCCCACAGCUUUGCCUCCAGGCGUGUCUCCAGACGGCCGUGGGCCCCUGCUCCUCCACCAUGUCAGCUGGACGAAGCCACGCUCACUGUGAACCACUAUGGCCUGGGACCCCGCGGUGCCAAAGCCUUGGCCAUGGCCAUGGCGCUGGAGAAUAACUAUGGGCUCACCAGCCUUGAGCUAGCAGAUAGCUGUCUUCUGGCGGAGGGGACACGUCACCUGAUGCAGAUGCUCAAACAGAACCGUAGCAUCAUCAGCCUGGGAACACCAUAUUUCUAUGAUUUUGCAGAACGCAGUAACAUUUGUGUUGCUGCAGAAACUUUGUGGUAUUUAUGAUUCCAGUUAGUCUAUGACAGCUCAUGCAUAAAGCUUUUAUUUCUUUUAUUUUAAAUAUUAUUAUUUUAUAUUUUCAUUUAUUUAAUUUUGAUUUUUAUUCAGUUUCCCCUGGGGAAUGAAUAAAGUAUUUCUGAUUUUACAUUACGAUAUAAACAAUACAAACAACAUGCUUUCUUAUACUAUUAAUUGAAGUACAUCCUGGCUACACUGAUGAUUUUUCAUCUCAACAUCUAUUGCUUCACUUUAUGUGGAUUUUGUCAUAAAAAUUUUUUUUUAGUAGUGGUGAUAAAUCCCAAAACCUGAGCAGUUUUUUUUCAAUCUCUACCCAUUAGUUGACUGUGUGUGCCCAUUAGUUGACUGUGUGAAUCAGUUUGCUGCAGAAUCUGUCCGACAAUCACCUGCGGCUGCCAGGAGCUGACAGCGUCUCCAAAAUGCUUCUGCACAACAGUUUCCUCAAAUCCAUCAAACUCUCAGGUACCCUGCUGAAUGACUGAGGAGAAAACAAACAAGAGAA